AACGGUUGUGUUCAGUUUGUGUUGAGCUCAGGCACAAGCAAGCAUGGCCCAAGCCUCAAGCAGGGCCCAGACUGGCUCCUGAAAUGCAGCUAGAGGCUCUGGUCUGCCAGGCUGCAGAAAGAGGCCCAAAGUGAGUCGCCCAGGCAGGGGCCUGCAGCCCGCCCAGGAGGGUUGGUUAGGGCUUGCUGUUCAGUUUGAGGAGGCUCACUUCCUUCCCCUUUCUGCAGCCUGCUGGGCCCCAGGGAGCUGGUAACCCGGGAACUGAGGCACGGGGGGAGAGGCCUCCGGAGCCUGUUGGGUUGCCAGCCUGGCUGUCAGCUGGCUGGGCCCUCCUCGGGGUGUGAGCAGAGUUUCUGAAAGUCCAGAUCUAAGGAUGACUUAGAUGGGUGGCUCUGGCUCCAGGACCCAAACUGGGCUGCAAUCACAAAGCCAGCCAGACAUGCAGUUGUCUGAAGACUUGAAUGGGGCUGGACUCUCACUGCCAAGAGCAUUCUACUGCAGUGACCAGGGCCCGGGCGUCCACCAGAGCAGAGUGCAGGGAUGGGGGAAUGACACUAUUCCAGGAGAGAGGAUUCUGCUCCAUGAAUGCCUCUGUGGCUCUACUGAUACUUCUCACAAGGACACCAAUCAGUGGAUUCAGGCCCACUGCGACUUGUGUGAUCUCAUUUUCACUUAAUUACCUAUGUCUGCAAAGAUCCUGUUUCCAAAGAAGGCCACAUUCAGAGGUUCCACUUUGGCAUGGAUUUCUGGAGACCUAUUCAACACAUUAGGUUUGUCAGAAUUAAAUGAAGAAUCAUGGAAAGUGGUUCACCUAGUGUACAGCUAUUCACAAAGUUGUUGUCUACGGCCAUACCACCCUGAAAGCACCCAAUCUCAUCUGAUCUCGGAAGGAAUCCAGGGUACUGGAAUCAUUUCAAGCCUGAUGACAUCCCAAGUAAUUCUUUUAAACACUUCUCCAUUGAACAACAACAACAGAUCAAUGUUUAAAGAAAAUGGUUCUUCCUCUUGCUCCCCAAAGUG
RNAcentral lists this long non-coding RNA (1020 nucleotides) under Heterocephalus glaber (naked mole-rat). RNAcentral describes it as "lncRNA (ENSHGLG00100039036.1)". Lineage: Eukaryota; Metazoa; Chordata; Mammalia; Rodentia; Bathyergidae. The record is from RNAcentral.